RNAcentral lists this ribosomal RNA (468 nucleotides) under uncultured bacterium. Its description in RNAcentral is "partial 16S ribosomal RNA". It matches the Rfam family "Bacterial small subunit ribosomal RNA", at positions 28 to 507 of the family's 1533-position model. The record is from RNAcentral.
GACGAACGCUGGCGGCGUGCUUAACACAUGCAAGUCGAACGGAAAGGCCCUGCUUUUGUGGGGUGCUCGAGUGGCGAACGGGUGAGUAACACGUGAGUAACCUGCCCUUGACUUUGGGAUAACUUCAGGAAACUGGGGCUAAUACCGGAUAGGAGCUCCUGCUGCAUGGUGGGGGUUAGAAAGUUUCGGCGGUUGGGGAUGGACUCGCGGCUUAUCAGCUUGUUGGUGGGGUAGUGGCUUACCUAGGCUUUGACGGGUAGCCGGCCUGAGAGGGUGACCGGCCACAUUGGGACUGAGAUACGGCCCAGACUCCUACGGGAGGCAGCAGUGGGGAAUAUUGCACAAUGGGCGGAAGCCUGAUGCAGCAACGCCGCGUGCGGGAUGACGGCCUUCGGGUUGUAAACCGCUUUCGCCUGUGACGAAGCGUGAGUGACGGUAAUGGGUAAAGAAGCACCGGCUAACUACGUG